RNAcentral lists this ribosomal RNA (252 nucleotides) under uncultured bacterium. Its description in RNAcentral is "partial 16S ribosomal RNA". It matches the Rfam family "Bacterial small subunit ribosomal RNA", at positions 524 to 776 of the family's 1533-position model. The record is from RNAcentral.
UACGGAGGAUGCGAGCGUUAUCCGGAUUUAUUGGGUUUAAAGGGUACGUAGGCGGACGCUUAAGUCAGCGGUAAAAUUGCGGGGCUCAACCUCGUCGAGCCGUUGAAACUGGGUGCCUUGAGUGGGCGAGAAGUACGCGGAAUGCGUGGUGUAGCGGUGAAAUGCAUAGAUAUCACGCAGAACUCCGAUUGCGAAGGCAGCGUACCGGCGCCCAACUGACGCUGAAGCACGAAGGCGUGGGUAUCGAACAGG